CGCCUGUUGGGCCAGCAGGGCACUCCGGCUGAAGAUAGACCGUUGCAUAUCUUCUGACGUCUGGCUUUCAGACUAGUUUGCACCGAGUGAAGUGAACUGAGAUAAAUGAGAAGUCUCAGCCUGACGAGCCUGACUUGAGUGCGCCCUUAACAGCUUGAAUCCAGUUCAGUGUCUGUCUGUCUCAUGGCUGCUGCUGCUGCUGCUGCUGCUACUACCGUAGGAGCUGAUGAUGCAGUUGAUGCUGAUGUCACCACCGCCUCUUAACAUGCCCGGAUGAACAGCGCCGCCAUUUCCCCUUCCCUCAGUCUGACUUGCGCACAGCUAAAGCUGGAACACUGCACCCACCCUCCUGUUUAUCCACACCGCUCCUCCUCCUCCCGUCUCUGACUCUUCAGUGACUGACGCACCGCUGUGUUCAUCCCAUCCAACACUGCUGAUGCUGAUGCUGA
Cynoglossus semilaevis (tongue sole) is the source of this 449-nucleotide long non-coding RNA. RefSeq lists it as uncharacterized. The transcript has 3 exons. NCBI's taxonomy places the organism in Eukaryota, Metazoa, Chordata, Actinopteri, Pleuronectiformes, Cynoglossidae. The record is from RefSeq and is a predicted model, not a curated record.